UCUCAGGUUGGGUGUUAUUGGUGUCAAAUCUGCCACUUCUCAAGGGGAUACAGGUGAUGCUUCAUUGUUCUCAUUGCACCGUGAGGCAGAGCUGUGGGUUAGUAGGAAAGCAAAACAAUAAUUUCUUGUAAGUGCCACUGGAGCUUCACUCAUGCUGCUCACAGGAUACAUGACUUAAGUUAUUUUUAAUUACUAUUAAUCAAGUCACAUCUGUAGUAUGUUAAACAAAUUAUUUUUUACUAGAAGCAGGGCUGUCUACUGCCAUCAAACCUAGGGAAAAUAUGUAUAUGUGAGUGUAAGCUACUAAUUUUCUUUCUCUAUCCUACUUUUUCCUUUCUAAUCUCAUUGUUUCAUACAGAAACUUACUUUGCAAGCUACCUAGUGCUUUGCCAUUUGAUUUGUUCUCUAAAUCCACAGCACAGUCUGUUGUGGGACUUGUGUUCUUCACACAGGAUCAUAGCAAAUCAUAUUCUGCUUUUUUUCAGGCAGUUUAUUUUAGUAUCUACCCUUUUUAAUGAACAAUUUUUUUAAGGAAUCAGUAUGCAGUUCUUAUGAUGUGAACAGAGAGGAGCUUGCUUAUUUAUCUACAGGUAGGCCACCACCACCAGUAAGAAUUCCUGUCUCUGGUGCCAUAGAAAUACCUCAUGGAAAUGUCUGUAUGUUAAAAAGGCAACUGGCACAUAGCAUCUUCUAUUGUUAUAAAUGGGAACUAAGCAUUUAACAGCUGUUGUAUUGCUCUGCAGCAUUAUGAAAUGAGUAGAAGAUGCAAGCACAAGCCUUGGUACUCCUAUACUAAAUCAUUUUUCUUUGAAGUGGAGACUUAGUUGCUUUUUCUAUGUGGAACAUAUAUCGUUAGCAUGCUAAUCAGAAUACAAGCAGCUUGCAAAGGGGAUAAUGAGGGAGAACUUCCAUGUAAUGCUUGGUUUACAUCCACGUGACUCUGUAGAAAAAUGUUUUGUUUUGCUGAGCUGUCUGUAAUUUCAUAUUUUUUGCUUAAUGAAACUUCAAACAAAUUCUGCAUUGUAGGUUUCAGGUUUUCAUCCCAGAGAGAGGCUUGGGAUUCUGGGGAGGGCAGGGAGGCAAAGCAGCUUGGAAAACCUGAACAGACAUUAAGUAAGCAUGCCUCUUGAAGAAAGACAGAUAACUCAACCUUCCUAAAUGUGACAGAAGUAAAACUUCCUGUUUAAAUACACCAUAGCCUAAAAGCAUACGUCACAAUUUGUUUUUCUUAAGCCUUUUUGAGUUUAAUUUAAUAGAAAAUGUUUUCAUAAUUGUCUGAUAGCUUUUCUGAUAUUUUAUACAAGCUGAAAUAUUUCUCAUGCAGGUUUUGUUUUGAGGACUGGGAAGUAUGACCUUUUGGAGGCUGGGAACACACGUUCUACUAUGCACUGCUGCUUGAGAGUAUGCAAAAUGCUAAAGGUUUAAAUCAAAUUGCCCCGAGGACUGCUUACUGACCUUUUGAAUGCAAAGCUGUCAAAACCUUCAGCUAGACAUCAGCUAGAGAAGAACACUUAAGGCAGAUCAAUGCAAACAGAAAACAAUGUGGUUCUGACUUUUGUUAAUUCCUAGUUAGUAACAAACGUUACUGUGCUGCAAGAGCUGUUGGAAACAAACACAUACUGCUGAGGAGUUGCUGUGAGUAACAUGCACAUCUGUGUAUGCCACAUACUAAACCACACCAGGGACUUGAUUCCAGUGAAAAAAACACUUUUAUUUCUCUUGCCAAGUUAUUUGCAUCCACAUCAGUUCUCUGAUCUGAUUCCUCGCUUGGUUACACAAGCUCUUAUGCCAACCCAAAGUCAGCACCACAAGUUGCAAACAUUGAGUUGCAUCAAACAAACGGAGGAUGCCUGUGGAUGUGCUUCCAGCAGAGCCUCUGAUCUCCUCUUGCCCUGCUGCGCCUGGUCAGGGGCCAGAGAGAAACUUGAGCCAGUGUGCAGAUUCCAGCUGCAGCUGCCUGUCUGUUGUCUCUUUGGUCCCAAGCCAGCUGAGCACCAUGGGCUUAUCUCUCCGGAUUGCUGAGCAUCCCUGAGGUCAGAGAAACAAAAUAGUGUGCAGCACCUUGUGUGAGAGCCCAAGGUGGCAUGGCAGAGGCAUGCAGGCUGCCCUGCCCUGGGAAACAUUCAUAGUGGUUUAGCCGAUCUGAGUCAGGGCAGCUGCUGUCCCGUGCUGUUGCCAUACAUUCAGCUGCAUGUUGCAAUCCAUGGUCUUUCACCCUUCAUUGUGCACUAAGAGCCAGGUUAAGGAGGUAAACCAUGAGAAAUCAAGCUCUACUGAAAAAAAAAGAAAAAGGAAGUUUUCUGGCAGGUUAUGUGUCCAGAGGAACUCAGUGCAGGCAGAGGAGCAUCAGCUGUGGCAUGAGGGCCAGAGAGCAUGGAGCUGCAGUAAACCCAAAGUCCAUACCAUAAGAACUCUAUGCUGUGUGUAAGAGGAAGACUACACACACAGGCAUGAGGUAUGUCCUCAGGAGUGUACGUUCUGUAGCCAUAGCUGUGUGGUUUGUUAAAUGUACCAAGAAGACCCGAUUGCUUGCAUCAAGUAUUUUUAACACCUUCCAGCAGCAGUAAAUGGACAUGGGAGAGCAAGGAAACAUGCUUUGCCAAAUCCCUGUGAGAUUACUCCUCCAAACUGCUUGCAGUUACCUCCAGCAGCAGGGGAGGAUGUUGGAGUGUCUUCUUUCUCCUGGUGAAAUUCAUGGCAGGGUCCCUUUUCAUUCUAGUGUGAUGAGACUGCAGCAGUAGGGGUAAAUGUCUGGAGGCUGCCCCUGGGGCAUUGUGAAACAACCUGGCUGAGGCAUAUCCACUGAUUUGGGUCAGUGGACCACUGUUGUAGAAGGUGGCUGGGAAAAAAAACACA
This is a long non-coding RNA of Neopsephotus bourkii (Bourke's parrot), 2856 nucleotides long. RefSeq lists it as uncharacterized. Lineage: Eukaryota; Metazoa; Chordata; Aves; Psittaciformes; Psittacidae. The transcript has 3 exons. The record is from RefSeq and is a predicted model, not a curated record.